Molecule: long non-coding RNA, 930 nt
Organism: Camelus dromedarius (Arabian camel)
Lineage: Eukaryota; Metazoa; Chordata; Mammalia; Artiodactyla; Camelidae
Exons: 2
Source: RefSeq, a predicted model, not a curated record
GGAAGAGACGGUCCAGGCACAGGCUCUGCAGGGCCAGGGGAGGGCUCGUGCAGAUUUGAGGAUCUGAGAGACAGCCAGUGUCACUGCAGGACAGAAAAAGGGAAGAGCCGAGGCUGGGAGCAGACAGUGGGGGUGGCUCACAGGACCUCGAACAGUUCGGUCUUCAUCCCACAAGCAGCAGAUGGAAGGGAAGGCAAUCAGUGAAGCUCAGCAGGGGUGCCGAGAGACAAGACCAGAUCUGGGUUUCUUGUUGUUGUUUCUCAGAUCACCUUGAUGAGAAGGGUGGGAGAAAGUCGAGAAUGGAAGCAAAUAGAACCAUUAAGAAACAUGUAAUUUACAGUACAGGAAUUAUUCCACAAUAAAGGCGUUCCAAAAAAAAAAAGGGAGAAGAAGGGUUUAAAAAAAAUAAAGAGAAAAUCUUACACUGGUUCAGCUUAGAGAGGAUGGUGGCUUGAACAAGGUGGUCACAGUGGAGAAGGUGGAUUUAAGGUGUUUCUUGGGGCACUCAGUGAAAGCAUGAAAUGAAUGAAUGAAUGAAUGAAACUAAUGGUCUGUAUAUGCAGCUAUUCCUCUCUGUCUUCAGGUUUUACAACACUGUCUCUCUGGAAGGUGAAAUUGAUGGCUCCAUGCAGAACGUCUUGAUAUCUGAUAAUGAAGACCCAGUCUAGGAAGAAGGGGAACUUAAAUGGUGUUCUGGAAGAUGGUGAGACUCCCUCCAGCUGGGCAGAAGGAAGAAGAGAGAACAAGAGGUUGGACCCCUGCAGACUUUCACAGGCCAUGGAGGACCCAAGGCAAGGACUUAACUGGAGAAAGGGGUCCCUCCAUUACCUGCCUGCCAAGAAGGAUGGCGAUCAGAGGAAUGAAAGGCAGUUGGCCGUCUUUGAAUACCCAGAGUGUCUCACAGCCAAUACAACCUGAAGAAUAUGGAUA